This 38-nucleotide unclassified non-coding RNA is filed under the name Agrobacterium tumefaciens. Lineage: Bacteria; Pseudomonadati; Pseudomonadota; Alphaproteobacteria; Hyphomicrobiales; Rhizobiaceae. The record is from RNAcentral.
CAAACCGUCUUUGACGGCUUGGGUUUCCAAGCAUUGUG